AGUGAACGCUGGCGGUAGGCCUAACAAAUGCAAGUCGAACGGCAGCACAGUAAGAGCUUGCUCUUACGGGAGGCGAGUGGCGGACGGGUGAGGAAUACAUCGGAAUCUACUUUUUCGUGGGGGAUAACGUAGGGAAACUUACGCUAAUACCGCAUACGACCUACGGGGGAAAGCAGGGGAUCUGCGGAACUUGCGCGAUUGAAUGAGCCGAUGUCGGAUUAGCUAGUUGGCGGGGUAAAGGCCCACCAAGGCGACGAUCCGUAGCUGGUCUGAGAGGAUGAUCAGCCACACUGGAACUGAGACACGGUCCAGACUCCUACGGGAGGCAGCAGUGGGGAAUAUUGGACAAUGGGCGCAAGCCUGAUCCAGCCAUACCGCGUUGGUGAAGAAGGCCUUCGGGUUGUAAAGCCCUUUUGUUGGGAAAGAAAAGCAGCAGGUUAAUACCCCGCUGUUCUGACGGUACCCACAGAAUAAGCACCGGCUAACUUCGUG
This 492-nucleotide ribosomal RNA is filed under the name uncultured bacterium. RNAcentral describes it as "partial 16S ribosomal RNA". It matches the Rfam family "Bacterial small subunit ribosomal RNA", at positions 29 to 507 of the family's 1533-position model. The record is from RNAcentral.